GUGUGACUGCGUACCUUUUGUAUAAUGGGUCAGCGACUUAUAUUCUGUAGCAAGGUUAACCGAAUAGGGGAGCCGAAGGGAAACCGAGUCUUAACUGGGCGUUAAGUUGCAGGGUAUAGACCCGAAACCCGGUGAUCUAGCCAUGGGCAGGUUGAAGGUUGGGUAACACUAACUGGAGGACCGAACCGACUAAUGUUGAAAAAUUAGCGGAUGACUUGUGGCUGGGGGUGAAAGGCCAAUCAAACCGGGAGAUAGCUGGUUCUCCCCGAAAGCUAUUUAGGUAGCGCCUCGUGAAUUCAUCUCCGGGGGUAGAGCACUGUUUCGGCAAGGGGGUCAUCCCGACUUACCAACCCGAUGCAAACUGCGAAUACCGGAGAAUGUUAUCACGGGAGACACACGGCGGGUGCUAACGUCCGUCGUGAAGAGGGAAACAACCCAGACCGCCAGCUAAGGUCCCAAAGUCAUGGUUAAGUGGGAAACGAUGUGGGAAGGCCCAGACAGCCAGGAUGUUGGCUUAGAAGCAGCCAUCAUUUAAAGAAAGCGUAAUAGCUCACUGGUCGAGUCGGCCUGCGCGGAAGAUGUAACGGGGCUAAACCAUGCACCGAAGCUGCGGCAGCGACGCUUAUGCGUUGUUGGGUAGGGGAGCGUUCUGUAAGCCUGCGAAGGUGUGCUGUGAGGCAUGCUGGAGGUAUCAGAAGUGCGAAUGCUGACAUAAGUAACGAUAAAGCGGGUGAAAAGCCCGCUCGCCGGAAGACCAAGGGUUCCUGUCCAACGUUAAUCGGGGCAGGGUGAGUCGACCCCUAAGGCGAGGCCGAAAGGCGUAGUCGAUGGGAAACAGGUUAAUAUUCCUGUACUUGGUGUUACUGCGAAGGGGGGACGGAGAAGGCUAUGUUGGCCGGGCGACGGUUGUCCCGGUUUAAGCGUGUAGGCUGGUUUUCCAGGCAAAUCCGGAAAAUCAAGGCUGAGGCGUGAUGACGAGGCACUACGGUGCUGAAGCAACAAAUGCCCUGCUUCCAGGAAAAGCCUCUAAGCAUCAGGUAACAUCAAAUCGUACCCCAAACCGACACAGGUGGUCAGGUAGAGAAUACCAAGGCGCUUGAGAGAACUCGGGUGAAGGAACUAGGCAAAAUGGUGCCGUAACUUCGGGAGAAGGCACGCUGAUAUGUAGGUGAAGUCCCUCGCGGAUGGAGCUGAAAUCAGUCGAAGAUACCAGCUGGCUGCAACUGUUUAUUAAAAACACAGCACUGUGCAAACACGAAAGUGGACGUAUACGGUGUGACGCCUGCCCGGUGCCGGAAGGUUAAUUGAUGGGGUUAGCGCAAGCGAAGCUCUUGAUCGAAGCCCCGGUAAACGGCGGCCGUAACUAUAACGGUCCUAAGGUAGCGAAAUUCCUUGUCGGGUAAGUUCCGACCUGCACGAAUGGCGUAAUGAUGGCCAGGCUGUCUCCACCCGAGACUCAGUGAAAUUGAACUCGCUGUGAAGAUGCAGUGUACCCGCGGCAAGACGGAAAGACCCCGUGAACCUUUACUAUAGCUUGACACUGAACAUUGAGCCUUGAUGUGUAGGAUAGGUGGGAGGCUUUGAAGUGUGGACGCCAGUCUGCAUGGAGCCGACCUUGAAAUACCACCCUUUAAUGUUUGAUGUUCUAACGUUGACCCGUAAUCCGGGUUGCGGACAGUGUCUGGUGGGUAGUUUGACUGGGGCGGUCUCCUCCUAAAGAGUAACGGAGGAGCACGAAGGUUGGCUAAUCCUGGUCGGACAUCAGGAGGUUAGUGCAAUGGCAUAAGCCAGCUUGACUGCGAGCGUGACGGCGCGAGCAGGUGCGAAAGCAGGUCAUAGUGAUCCGGUGGUUCUGAAUGGAAGGGCCAUCGCUCAACGGAUAAAAGGUACUCCGGGGAUAACAGGCUGAUACCGCCCAAGAGUUCAUAUCGACGGCGGUGUUUGGCACCUCGAUGUCGGCUCAUCACAUCCUGGGGCUGAAGUAGGUCCCAAGGGUAUGGCUGUUCGCCAUUUAAAGUGGUACGCGAGCUGGGUUUAGAACGUCGUGAGACAGUUCGGUCCCUAUCUGCCGUGGGCGCUGGAGAACUGAGGGGGGCUGCUCCUAGUACGAGAGGACCGGAGUGGACGCAUCACUGGUGUUCGGGUUGUCAUGCCAAUGGCACUGCCCGGUAGCUAAAUGCGGAAGAGAUAAGUGCUGAAAGCAUCUAAGCACGAAACUUGCCCCGAGAUGAGUUCUCCCUGACUCCUUGAGAGUCCUGAAGGAACGUUGAAGACGACGACGUUGAUAGGCCGGGUGUGUAAGCGCAGCGAUGCGUUGAGCUAACCGGUACUAAUGAACCGUGAGGCUUAACCUU
RNAcentral lists this ribosomal RNA (2354 nucleotides) under Escherichia coli. RNAcentral's name for it is "bacterial LSU rRNA". It matches the Rfam family "Bacterial large subunit ribosomal RNA", at positions 591 to 2925 of the family's 2925-position model. The record is from RNAcentral. RNAcentral also lists the same sequence under 2 other names. Lineage: Bacteria; Pseudomonadati; Pseudomonadota; Gammaproteobacteria; Enterobacterales; Enterobacteriaceae.